ACGGGGGGUGCAAGCGUUAAUCGGAAUUACUGGGCGUAAAGCGCACGUAGGCGGUUUAUUAAGUCAGAUGUGAAAUCCUCUGGCUCAACCAUGGAACUGCUUUGGAUACUGGUAAGCUAGAGUGUGGUAGAGGUGGGUGGAAUUCCAGGUGUAGGGGUGAAAUGCGUAGAGAUCGGGAGGAAUACCGGUGGCGAAGGCGGCCCCCUGGAACAGUACUGACGCUGAGGUGCGAAAGCGUGGGGAGCAAACAG
This 251-nucleotide ribosomal RNA is filed under the name uncultured prokaryote. RNAcentral's name for it is "partial 16S rRNA". It matches the Rfam family "Bacterial small subunit ribosomal RNA", at positions 525 to 775 of the family's 1533-position model. The record is from RNAcentral.